UGUCCUCGUGUUGCAUCCCU
This 20-nucleotide non-coding RNA is filed under the name Arabidopsis thaliana (thale cress). Lineage: Eukaryota; Viridiplantae; Streptophyta; Magnoliopsida; Brassicales; Brassicaceae. The record is from RNAcentral.